This 476-nucleotide long non-coding RNA is filed under the name Equus asinus (donkey). RNAcentral's name for it is "lncRNA (ENSEASG00005033361.1)". The record is from RNAcentral. Lineage: Eukaryota; Metazoa; Chordata; Mammalia; Perissodactyla; Equidae.
AGGAUGUAAUCUGAGAAUAGGGACUGUUUCUGCUCUUCCAAAUAUUUUAGACCUGCUCAUCUUGAGGAGGAAAGAACUACAUUCAAGGUUAGCUACUGGUACCGCUCUGAGUCACUGGGAGAUUGUUCUGCCAUCUCCAUCUCUCUACCCAAACAAGAGUUGACGUUGGAUUUUCUCCAAACAACUGAGCAGCUGCCCCUUUCUCUUUGUGGAACAAGGAGCUCUGAAGACUUCCCAUAUCAUAUCCAGGCUCUCCUGGAUAUUUAUCCGUGUUAAGGAAGUGUAUAGAGGGGUCCUGAGGAGAAAAAAGAGAUCUGUUUCCCAUUUUCCAAGUAAUUGAUUCACAUGUGUAUUCUGCCAAUGAGCUCUAUUAAAUCUUUUUUUUUUUAAAGAUUGGCACCUGAGCUCACAUCUGUUGCCAAUCUUCUUUUUUUUCCUGUCCCCAAAGCCCCCCAGUACAUAGUUGUAUAUUCUAG